UCCCCCCUUUUCGGCUGCCCGGUUUUUGGGGGGGGGGUUUUUUUUUUUAAAAUUUUUCCCCUCGCUCAGGAUGAACGCUGGCGGCGUGCUUAACACAUGCAAGUCGAACGAUGACCCCGGUGCUUGCAUCGGUGAUUAGUGGCGAACGGGUGAGUAACACGUGAGUAACCUGCCCUUAACUCUGGGAUAAGCCUGGGAAACUGGGUCUAAUACCGGAUAUGACUCCUCAUCGCAUGGUGGGGGGUGGAAAGCUUUUUUGUGGUUUUGGAUGGACUCGCGGCCUAUCAGCUUGUUGGUGAGGUAAUGGCUUACCAAGGCGACGACGGGUAGCCGGCCUGAGAGGGUGACCGGCCACACUGGGACUGAGACACGGCCCAGACUCCUACGGGAGGCAGCAGUGGGGAAUAUUGCACAAUGGGCGGAAGCCUGAUGCAGCGACGCCGCGUGAGGGAUGACGGCCUUCGGGUUGUAAACCUCUUUCAGUAGGGAAGAAGCGUAAGUGACGGUACCUGCAGAAGAAGCGCCGGCUAACUACGUGCCAGCAGCCGCGGUAAUACGUAGGGCGCAAGCGUUAUCCGGAAUUAUUGGGCGUAAAGAGCUCGUAGGCGGUUUGUCGCGUCUGCCGUGAAAGUCCGGGGCUCAACUCCGGAUCUGCGGUGGGUACGGGCAGACUAGAGUGAUGUAGGGGAGACUGGAAUUCCUGGUGUAGCGGUGAAAUGCGCAGAUAUCAGGAGGAACACCGAUGGCGAAGGCAGGUCUCUGGGCAUUAACUGACGCUGAGGAGCGAAAGCAUGGGGAGCGAACAGGAUUAGAUACCCUGGUAGUCCAUGCCGUAAACGUUGGGCACUAGGUGUGGGGGACAUUCCACGUUUUCCGCGCCGUAGCUAACGCAUUAAGUGCCCCGCUGGAGACCCGACCCC
Molecule: ribosomal RNA, 920 nt
Filed under: Arthrobacter sp.
Lineage: Bacteria; Bacillati; Actinomycetota; Actinomycetes; Micrococcales; Micrococcaceae
Description: bacterial SSU rRNA
Rfam family: Bacterial small subunit ribosomal RNA
Source: RNAcentral